Molecule: long non-coding RNA, 313 nt
Filed under: Mytilus galloprovincialis (Mediterranean mussel)
Lineage: Eukaryota; Metazoa; Mollusca; Bivalvia; Mytilida; Mytilidae
Source: RNAcentral
AACUUCAUCAAAAACUACCUUGACCAAAAACUUUAACCUGAAACUUUGCACUAUCAUUUUCUAUGUUCAGUGAACCAUGAAAUUGGGUCAAAACUAUAAUUUGGCAUUAAAAUUAGAAAGAUCAUAUCAUGGGGAACAUGUGUAUCAAGUUUCAAGUUGAUUGGACUUCAGCUUCAUCAAAAACUACCUCGACCAAAAACUUUAACCUGAAGCGAACGGACGCACAGACGGACGCACAGACGGACGAACGAACGGAGGCACAGACCAGAAAACAUAAUGCCCCUCUACUAUCGUAGGUGGGGCAUAAAAAACC